UUAUUGAGUAGCUCUUGGAAAGAGCUUUUCGAAAUGAUAUGACACACCUCCAUAAGAUUCCCGGAUUGCAAGUUAUGAAGGUUUCAAGUAGCUUGCACAUCGAUCGAGGUGCAUGCACUUCGAGAUAGUGAGGCCCAUCAGUCCCAGCCAUAGUUAGGCUCGUGGCUUAUUGGGUCUAUAUAUAUCAGCCCCCAACAGCUCAUUUAAAUAUAGAAAGAAAAAAGAGAAGGCCAAUGAGAGAGAAAGUCCGAGUAUUUGAGAGAGAAAUGGAGCUUUUCUUUUGGUUAAACACUGUAAAUCUCUUCUGUAAACACUUAUAUACAUAUAUAAUACAACAUAUCAAGUUUUAACCAGUGGAAAUUGAGUCUAGAGGUGCCUAAAGUAGUUCAAUAGUCAUUCUCAUGCCUAAUUGUAAGAUCUCUUCAAAUCUUCUU
Molecule: long non-coding RNA, 434 nt
Filed under: Panax ginseng (ginseng)
Lineage: Eukaryota; Viridiplantae; Streptophyta; Magnoliopsida; Apiales; Araliaceae
Description: long non-coding RNA (PGIN_LNC000026)
Source: RNAcentral